CCAGCCGCUGCCUAGCCUCCGUCCAGCCCUGUCCGGCCACCUCCGGCCGCCGUUCAACCUCGCCGGACUUCCCCGGCAUCCCCCUCGUCCUCCGCCGGCCUCCCCUCGCCGUUUUGGCCGCCGGAGCAACCCCGGCCAGCCCCGUCCAGCAACCCACGAAAUGGGUUUCCAGCUGGUUCAGGCCCGCUUUUGGGCCGUUUCUGGGCCUCGUUCCCGAGACCCGCUUUGGAGUUUAUCGUUCCUCGCGUCGUCCCCGUCGGAUUGAUCCGAUUUGCGCGCGAUUUGGUGAGUAAUCUCACUAAUCCCGGAUUAGUUGGCUAAUUAUGCUUAAGGUUGGUUUAGUUUUAAUUAAUUAUGUUUAGGUUGUUAGAUUAGAAUAAAUUAGUAAUUAUUAGUCAAUUGUGAUGCGAUUUAGAUAAAUUGAUUGCACAAUUAACAAGUAGACGUGGUCUACUAAUUAUUAGAAGUGUCUCGGGAUUUUUCCCGACCCUUAGUGGGCUCCAAUUAGGCUUUUCGGUCCUAAGUGGAAUUUUUAGUAUUUAAAUAUUAAUUUUCGGAAUUAAAUUAAAUAAUUAUUUAUUUUUCGAAAAUUCAACUGAGAUGGUCCGGAACUGAAAUUUUAUGCUGAUAACUGUGGUGAAGUCCGUUUAUUUAAUUGAGCACCAAUUUGAGCUAAAUUGGAUUUAUUAUAAUUAAUUAUUAAUUCUCGAAAUUAAUUAAUUAAUUAAUUAAUUAUUUUCUGGAAAUUCAACUGAGAUGGCCCGUGACCGGAAAAUUAUGCUGAUGACCGUGGUGAAGUUUGUUUAUUUAAUUGGGCUUUAUUUUGUGCUAAAUUGAAUUUUUAAUAUUUAUUAAUUAAUUAUUUAUUUUUUGAAAAUUAAGUUUGAGAUGGUCGACGACCGAAAUCUCGUGCCGAUUGUUGUGGCGUAGUCCGUUUAUUUAUUUGAGCUUUGAAUGGUGCUGAAUUGAUUUAAUUAUGGAUAUUUAGGAUAUGUUCCUAAAUUGAUUAUUUGAGUAAUUUGAGUAUGAAUUAAGGUUGUGGAUAAUUACUUUAGAAAUGGGAUGAAUCAUCAUGAAAGGCACGUGGCUCGGUGAAUCGUACAUCAUCUCGGAGAAUGCACGUGGCUCGGUGAUUUGGUAUAUCACUUCGGAGAAUGCACGUGGCUCGAUGAUUAGUACGUCACCUUGGAGAAUGCACGGGGCUUGAUGAUUAGAUAUAUCACCUCGGAGAAUGCACAUGGCUCGAUGACGAAGUAUGUCGCCUUGGAGAAUGCAUGUGGCUCGGUGAUUAAGUGUGGCAUCCUAAAAGAGACACGUGGGCUCGGUAAUUUGAUGCAUUACCUCGGAGAAUGCACGUGGUCUCAAUGAGUACAUUUGGCAUUUUGAAGAGACACGUGGGCUCGGUGACUUGAUGCAUCACUUCGGAGAAUGCACGUGGGCUCCCUGAUUCAGAAUGGCAUUUUAAAAGGCACGUGGGCUCGGUAAAGUAAUGCAUUACCUUGGAGAAUGCACGUGGCUCGGUGAUUGGUUUUAUUAAUUGAGACUGAAUAGCAAUAGCUUGAAUGACCGGGAAAUGGUCAGGCCGAUAUGUAAUCGACUAGGUCGAUUGAUCAUUGCUUUGAUUUGAUGUCGUGGAUUGAUUGACUGAUUGGAAAUGACCGUGAGAGGUCUUGUUGGCAUAUAAUCGACUAGGUCAAUUUGAUCGAUACUUCUAUCUGUGAUAUGAUUGCUUAGGUGCCUAUUAUGAAUUGUACUAACUUGUAGGUGGGAUCUGAGGCCAAGGUAAGUCAUCUGCUCUGUGCGUGUUUAGGCAGCCUAUAGUAUAAUGGUUUACUAAUUGGGUUUAGUGGGGUAGAACUCGCUGAGACGUAGUCUCAUCCCAGUUUGGGGAAAACAUUUCAG
RNAcentral lists this long non-coding RNA (1902 nucleotides) under Eucalyptus grandis. RNAcentral describes it as "long non-coding RNA (EGRA_LNC001963)". The record is from RNAcentral. Lineage: Eukaryota; Viridiplantae; Streptophyta; Magnoliopsida; Myrtales; Myrtaceae.